UAUCCUGUAUGUGUCAUAAUUCACUGGCCUUUGAGGUCAUGGUUUUGUUUAUGCCAAAUUACAAUUGACAAAGUACUCAACUACUGUUGCUGAAAGAAUUCUUGUAUUUUACCAUAUCCAUCUCCCCAGUCAUCCCUGGGCUGUCUAACCAAUGGCUCCAUGUCUUAAAAAUCCAUCCCAGCUUUCAUUUGUCUACAUAAUUGUUUUCUGAGGCACCAGUCUUACAAGGCUCAAGUGUUUUCCUUAUUUUCUUUUGUCGUGCUGCAAGCUAAACAUGGAAUCAGCCCUGUCCCUUGGAUAGCCCAGUAGUCAGCUGCCUAUGAUAUUUAAUGAGAAGAUACAACAGGAAUAUUGGAAUGGAAGUACAACAAUGAAAAUGACUCAAAAACUCUACCUUUGAUUGGGUUCCUUGGGAACAGAUUCUAAGACUGAGAAUUGGGUGAAGAAAAUGAAUGGAGAAGAGUUCUUCUGAGAUAAACAGUUCUGGAUGCAAGAAGUUGAAGAACAAGUGUCAGGACAAUCAUCUUCUGUGGAAUAUUAGUGGACAUGACAUAAUCAAAGUCGUUUAUGCAUGUGCAUCUUUGGGCUAGCUUACUGCACUUCACUGAUGCUCAACAUAGUGCCCAGGACAUCUGCAGCUCCAAGAGAAUGUGGAGAGGUACAAACAAGACCAGCAGGCGCCCAAGGCUGGGAUCCAAUUGCAGUUGAAACACAAAUACAUGAGCACUAAAAAUGAAAGUUGUUUUGGAAAACAACUGAGUGAAGAUGUUGUUUAUAACAGGAUUAUUGAGUGAUAGUGGACGAAUCUACACAGUAUGACCAAAUAGUUGUUUUUCAUGGUUGCAUGUUCAUGUUUAAUGUAGAUAAUAUUCUCCUUUAUUUGCUAAAAACAUUUAUUUUCUUCAUUUUAUAUCAUUGUGUGAUCUGUUAUUCAAAACCCUAAGGAUACCUUCCACUGACUUGCCGGAGAGGGGCUGCGCUUUUCCAAGAGCUACUUCCCUUGUUUGCACUUUCUCAGCUCCCUGGGCAGUGGGAGGAGGCAUUGCCCAGAGACACCCUGUAGGCUGCACCUACUGGGAAUCACUCCCAUCACCUUCCAAACUGGAUCCUGCCCUGAUGUUAUACUCCUGCCUCUGAUUAAGGAUGGGCUGUACAGGAAUUUCUGAAAGCAAGAAGUGCAAGCAGGUCGGUGCUGGUAUGGUUAAAGAAAAAUCGAAAAGGAAAUUUAAAACAUUCUCUAGAGUCCUAUUACCCUAGAGAAUUUUCCUUUCUAAGCUGCCCACACAUGCUAGGACACAGCUGUGUUUGAUAUUUUUCUCAGGUAAAACACCUCUCCUUAUUCAUUUUCUCUCUG
Molecule: non-coding RNA, 1354 nt
Organism: Microcebus murinus (gray mouse lemur)
Lineage: Eukaryota; Metazoa; Chordata; Mammalia; Primates; Cheirogaleidae
Source: RefSeq, a predicted model, not a curated record